ACUCAAAUGAAUUGACGGGGACCUGCACAAGCGGUGGAGCGUGUGGUUUAAUUCGAUACUAAGCGAAGAACCUUACCAAGGUUUGACAUCUCUGGAAAGCCCCGGAAACGGGGCCGUGCCGCAAGGAACCAGAAGACAGGUGCUGCACGGUUGUCGUCAGCUCGUGCCGUGAGGUGUCCCGUUCAGUCGGUUAACGAGCGCAACCCCUACUCUGUGUUACAUUUCUCACAGAGAACUGCCCUGGUUAACAGGGAGGAAGGUGGGGACGACGUCAAAUCAGCGUGGCUCUUACACCUUGGGCGACACACGCGCUACAAUGGGUAGUAACAAUGGGUUGCCAAGCCGCAAGGCGGAGCUAAUCCCACCAAACCUACCCCCAGUUCGGAUUGAGGGCUGCAACUCGCCCCCAUGAAGUCGGAAUCGCUAGUAACGGCCGGUCAGCCAUACGGCCGUGAAUACGUUCUCAGGUCUUGUACACACCGCCCGU
Molecule: ribosomal RNA, 487 nt
Filed under: uncultured bacterium
Lineage: Bacteria
Description: partial 16S ribosomal RNA
Rfam family: Bacterial small subunit ribosomal RNA
Source: RNAcentral